Molecule: ribosomal RNA, 143 nt
Filed under: uncultured eukaryote
Lineage: Eukaryota
Description: partial small subunit ribosomal RNA
Source: RNAcentral
GUACACACCGCCCGUCACACCAUGGGAGUGGGUUGCACCAGAAGCCGGUAGUCUAACCUUCGGGAGGGCGCCGACCACGGMGUGAUUCAUGACUGGGGUGAAGUCGUAACARGGUAGCCGUAGGUGAACCUGCAGAAGGAUCA